This 30-nucleotide transfer RNA is filed under the name Riccardia longispica. RNAcentral's name for it is "partial tRNA-His". The record is from RNAcentral. Lineage: Eukaryota; Viridiplantae; Streptophyta; Jungermanniopsida; Metzgeriales; Aneuraceae.
GGGCGGACCUAGCCAAGUGGAUUAAGGCAG